Arabidopsis thaliana (thale cress) is the source of this 349-nucleotide non-coding RNA. Lineage: Eukaryota; Viridiplantae; Streptophyta; Magnoliopsida; Brassicales; Brassicaceae. The record is from RefSeq.
AAAUUCCUUAUAUUGCAGAUAACACCUUAAGGAAGGUUUGUUUUUGUUUUACAGGUUAACUGUGGUGGUAAAUUUUAUCACUUGGCUGAUUCUAUUAUUUUGAGCAAGGCUUCCUAAAGUCAGAUCAUUGGUCUCUCUCUCAAGUAACUUAGGUUUGAAAAAGCAGCUUCUCCAGUCAGCAUCUUACCCUUCUCACUACUCAGCAAAUCCACAAAUAGAAACGAGUCGUUGCUUCGGAAGCCUUGUUCAAAAUCAGAGUAUCAGCCAUGUGAUAAAAUUAACAACCAGAGUUAACAUAUAAAACUAAAACAAUCCUUCCUUAAGUUGUUGUUGCUUAAUUUGGGAAUUU